AUUGAACGCUGGCGGCAUGCCUUACACAUGCAAGUCGAACGGCAGCACGGGAGCAAUCCUGGUGGCGAGUGGCGAACGGGUGAGUAAAGUAUCGGAACGUGCCCAGUCGUGGGGGAUAAUGUAGCGAAAGUUACGCUAAUACCGCAUACGAUCUAUGGAUGAAAGCGGGGGAUCGCAAGACCUCGCGCGGUUGGAGCGGCCGGUAUCAGAUUAGGUAGAUGGUGGGGUAAGGGCUCACCAAGCCGACGAUCUGUAGCUGGUCUGGGAGGACGACCAGCCACACUGGGACUGGGACACGGCCCAGACUCCUACGGGAGGCAGCAGUGGGGAAUUUUGGACAAUGGGCGAAAGCCUGAUCCAGCCAUGCCGCGUGCAGGAUGAAGGCCUUCGGGUUGUAAACUGCUUUUGUACGGAACGAAAAGGUUUGGCCUAAUAAGCUGAGCUCAUGACGGUACCGUAAGAAUAAGCACCGGCUAACUACGUGCCAGCAGCCGCCGUAA
RNAcentral lists this ribosomal RNA (500 nucleotides) under uncultured bacterium. Its description in RNAcentral is "partial 16S ribosomal RNA". It matches the Rfam family "Bacterial small subunit ribosomal RNA", at positions 30 to 523 of the family's 1533-position model. The record is from RNAcentral.